AGAUAUUUAUUCUAAAAAGAUAGCUGAUUUCGACUUAGCUGAUUUUGGUUAACUCCAAAAAUAUCUU
Molecule: transfer RNA, 67 nt
Filed under: Eurycea cirrigera (southern two-lined salamander)
Lineage: Eukaryota; Metazoa; Chordata; Amphibia; Caudata; Plethodontidae
Description: tRNA-Arg
Source: RNAcentral